CCCCUAUUGCCAGUUACCAGCGAGUAAUGUCGGGGACUCUGGUGAGACUGCCGGGGACAACUCGGAGGAAGGUGGGGAUGACGUCAAAUCAUCAUGCCCCUUAUGUCUUGGGCUACACACGUGCUACAAUGGCUGAAACAAAGGGAAGCGACAACGUAAGUUGAAGCGGAUCUCAUAAAAACAGCCCAGUUCGGAUUGUGGGCUGCAACCCNCCCACAUGAAGUCGGAGUUGCUAGUAAUCGCGUAACAGCAUGACGCGGUGAAUACGUUCCCGGGCCUUGUACACACCGCCCGUCACACCAUGGGAAUUGGGUCUACCCGAAGACGGUGCGCCAACCAGCAAUGGAGGCAGCUGGCCACGGUAGGCUCAGUGACUGGGG
Molecule: ribosomal RNA, 380 nt
Filed under: uncultured bacterium
Lineage: Bacteria
Description: partial 16S ribosomal RNA
Rfam family: Bacterial small subunit ribosomal RNA
Source: RNAcentral